RNAcentral lists this small RNA (167 nucleotides) under Streptomyces sp. RNAcentral describes it as "c-di-AMP sequence". It matches the Rfam family "c-di-AMP riboswitch aptamer (ydaO/yuaA leader)". From Rfam's summary of the family: This family represents a conserved RNA structure found upstream of the ydaO and yuaA genes in Bacillus subtilis and related genes in other bacteria. The ydaO/yuaA element is thought to act as a genetic "off" switch for the ydaO and yuaA genes in its native state. Lineage: Bacteria; Bacillati; Actinomycetota; Actinomycetes; Kitasatosporales; Streptomycetaceae. The record is from RNAcentral.
GGGCAGUCAUCGCCGAGUCCCCGUCAGGCGCGAGCCUGGGGAGCCGGGGACCCAAUGCAGUCCCUGGGGUGAAUCGGACACCUGCGCCCGCGCGUGCCAGGUGCCCGUAGGAGACCUUCCUGCUCCGAACCCGUCAGCUAACCCGGUAGGCGAGAAGGAAGGAAAGG